Molecule: ribosomal RNA, 333 nt
Filed under: uncultured bacterium
Lineage: Bacteria
Description: bacterial SSU rRNA
Rfam family: Bacterial small subunit ribosomal RNA
Source: RNAcentral
UGCGCAGGCGGCCAGGUGUGUGAGGCGUGAAAGCCCGGGGCUUAACCCCGGAAUUGCACCUCAAACUACAUGGCUAGAGCAUUGGAGAGGGUAGCGGAAUUCACGGUGUAGCAGUGAAAUGCGUAGAUAUCGUGAGGAACACCAGAGGCGAAGGCGGCUACCUGGACAAUUGCUGACGCUCAGGCACGAAAGCGUGGGGAGCAAAAGGGAUUAGAUACCCCUGUAGUCCACGCCCUAAACGGUGCACACUAGGUCUUGGCGGAUUCGACCCCCCCAGGGCCCAAGCUAACGCGUUAAGUGUGCCGCCUGAGGACUACGGCCGCAAGGCUAAAA